Molecule: ribosomal RNA, 467 nt
Filed under: uncultured bacterium
Lineage: Bacteria
Description: partial 16S ribosomal RNA
Rfam family: Bacterial small subunit ribosomal RNA
Source: RNAcentral
GACGAACGCUGGCGGCGUGCUAACCCCUGCAAGUCGAACGGAAAGGCCCUGCUUUUUGUGGGUGCUCGAGUGGCGAACGGGUGAGUAACACGUGAGUAACCUGCCCUUGACUUUGGGAUAACUUCAGGAAACUUGGGCUAAUACCGGAUAGGAGCUCCCGCUGCCUGGUGGGGGGUGGAAAGUUUCGGCGGUUGGGGAUGGACUCGCGGCUUAUCAGCUUGUUGGUGGGGUAGUGGCUUACCAAGGCUUUGACGGGUAGCCGGCCUGAGAGGGUGACCGGCCACAUUGGGACUGAGAUACGGCCCAGACUCCUACGGGAGGCAGCAGUGGGGAAUAUUGCACAAUGGGCGGAAGCCUGAUGCAGCAACGCCGCGUGCGGGAUGACGGCCUUCGGGUUGUAAACCGCUUUCGCCUGUGACGAAGCGUGAGUGACGGUAAUGGGUAAAGAAGCACCGGCUAACUACGUG